RNAcentral lists this ribosomal RNA (366 nucleotides) under Escherichia coli. RNAcentral's name for it is "partial 23S ribosomal RNA". It matches the Rfam family "Bacterial large subunit ribosomal RNA", at positions 1409 to 1776 of the family's 2925-position model. The record is from RNAcentral. Lineage: Bacteria; Pseudomonadati; Pseudomonadota; Gammaproteobacteria; Enterobacterales; Enterobacteriaceae.
GCGUAGUCGAUGGGAAACAGGUUAAUAUUCCUGUACUUGGUGUUACUGCGAAGGGGGGACGGAGAAGGCUAUGUUGGCCGGGCGACGGUUGUCCCGGUUUAAGCGUGUAGGCUGGUUUUCCAGGCAAAUCCGGAAAAUCAAGGCUGAGGCGUGAUGACGAGGCACUACGGUGCUGAAGCAACAAAUGCCCUGCUUCCAGGAAAAGCCUCUAAGCAUCAGGUAACAUCAAAUCGUACCCCAAACCGACACAGGUGGUCAGGUAGAGAAUACCAAGGCGCUUGAGAGAACUCGGGUGAAGGAACUAGGCAAAAUGGUGCCGUAACUUCGGGAGAAGGCACGCUGAUAUGUAGGUGAGGUCCCUCGCGG